Molecule: ribosomal RNA, 253 nt
Filed under: uncultured bacterium
Lineage: Bacteria
Description: partial 16S ribosomal RNA
Rfam family: Bacterial small subunit ribosomal RNA
Source: RNAcentral
UACGUAGGGUGCAAGCGUUAAUCGGAAUUACUGGGCGUAAAGCGUGCGCAGGCGGUUGUGCAAGACCGAUGUGAAAUCCCCGGGCUUAACCUGGGAAUGGCAUUUGGGACUGCAAGGCUCGAGUGCGGCAGAGGAGACUGGAAUUCCUGGUGUAGCAGUGAAAUGCGUAGAUAUCAGGAGGAACACCGAUGGCGAAGGCAGGUCUCUGGGCUGACACUGACGCUCAUGCACGAAAGCGUGGGGAGCAAACAGG